RNAcentral lists this ribosomal RNA (500 nucleotides) under uncultured Myrionecta. Its description in RNAcentral is "bacterial SSU rRNA". It matches the Rfam family "Eukaryotic small subunit ribosomal RNA", at positions 1211 to 1797 of the family's 1831-position model. Lineage: Eukaryota; Ciliophora; Litostomatea; Cyclotrichida; Mesodiniidae. The record is from RNAcentral.
AAACUUACCAGGUCAAGACAUGGGCGUGAUUGACAGGCUAAUGACUUUUCUCGAUUCCAUGGAUGGUGGUGCAUGGUCGCACUUAGUUGGUGCAGUGAUUUGUCAGGUUUAUUCCGGUAACGAACGAGACCUCGGCCUUGUAAAUAGCUAUGCUGCUUACAGGGACAUUGGCGGCUACGCCAAGGAAGCUCGAGGCAAUUGCAGAUCUGGAAUGCCCUUAGAUGUCCUGGGUCGCACGCGUGCUACAAUGACGCCACGAACGAGCUUGCGUGAUGAAAGUUACGCAUAAUCAGCAGUCGGCGUCUUAAGGGAUAGUCUCUUGUAACUGUGGGACUCCAACUAGGAAUGUCUCGUAAGCACAAGUCAACAUCUUGUGUUGAUUACGUCCCUGCUCUUUGUACACACCGCCCGUCGCUCCUACCGAUCGAGUGUUUAGGUGAAUUUGAUGGACGUAAGGAAGUCAAAUAAACCUGAGCACUAGAGAAGAGAAGUCGAGCCUC